This 3631-nucleotide long non-coding RNA is filed under the name Ornithorhynchus anatinus (platypus). Its description in RNAcentral is "lncRNA (ENSOANG00000037754.1)". The record is from RNAcentral. Lineage: Eukaryota; Metazoa; Chordata; Mammalia; Monotremata; Ornithorhynchidae.
GCCAUGAUGGAAAACGGAUGUCAAGUCUGUCAGCCCCUCGCGAUGCCCGACAGGGAUUCUCCGAGGUGCGAGGUCCGCGGGAGUGGGGCUGGAAACUUCCAGGAAACGGUGAGAAAAAAGAGCUUGGAACGGAACGAAACAAAGAAAAGAGAGACAGUGCCACAUCUCCUCCUGGAGGACCAGAGAAGUGAAGUGACUCGUCCAAGGUCACACCACGUGCAAGUAGCAGUGCCAGGAUUAGAACACAGGUCUGAUUCGUCCAGUAGAGUAGGUAUAUCCUGCUUCCAUGAUGCCCGAGGCUAUAAGACCCAUUGACUUUUUGAUUUUAAACAAGCCUGCAACCAGCCUUCUAUUGUCCUAUCUCCAGACCGUAAGCUCGGUGUGGGUAGGGAACAUGUCUACCGCCUCUGUUGCUCCUCCAUUCCUUCCCGUGACAGUUGUAGUUUCAGCCUCUCCCUCUCUAGCCGACCUCCCCUCCUCUCCCAUCCUGGAGGAGAAAUUCCUCCAGGAAAGAGACUGUGUCUAUCAACUUUGUGGUACUGUAGUCUCCCAAGCACUUAGGGCAGUGAUCGGCUCACAGUAAAGACUCAAUAAAUACUACCGGUAAAUUGAUUGACGAACCCUGGUUCAGAAUGAUUGAUGUUUGACGGCGUUACUGUAGGGAAGUAUCAUUUCAUGGAACAUUAAAGGCCUUAACUGUCCUUUUAAGAAGGGAAAAUCUUGACAGCAACUUUCUUUUUUCACAAAAGAGGAGAGCUGACUCUCUCCUGACUUUGUUCCAAAGUCUCACCAGGCUGACUCCGGACCUUCGGUAACUUCCAAAAUGCCACAUGACAACGAGACAGUGGGCCUGUCCGGAGCACAGCUUGUCUCCUAAUGUGCUCUGUGCCCGCCCUCCCUGGACCGCAGCAGCUGCCGGCCCCCAACCCCGCGGGAGCUCGGGAAACGAGUCUGAGAGGAAAGAGGCCGUGCUCCUUGACCUAAUUAGACCAGGGCGGAGUGAGACACUCGAGCCCUGGAAUGCUAACUAACAGGCGCUGGAUCUGGAAGCAGCUCAGAUUAAGGAGCCCGGAAAACCACCUACCGCAAAAGCAAACCGGGUUGAGAGACGCCUCUCGGGUUUCAGGCUUGUCGUCCCCCAUCCUGUUUGAGUUCACGGUGAAACCGACAAGGUAGAAUUCACCCGCGGGUCUCCAUCUCUGAUUUCAGAGGACUCUCGGUCCGGUCUGCCAGAUUCCGGGCUGUCGCUCGGCGGCUCUGGGAGAAAUGGUUGUGCGUGGGGGAAAAUAGUGGGUGUCGGGCAUUGAACAACGGGUCAAAGUGGGGACCGUCAAGAUGGGAAUCCUCAAGGUGUGGGACAGCUGGCUAUAUUUUGAGCAACCGUUGAACUUUCCUAAGCCCUUAGUUGCCUACGGUGACAUUCAAUAAAUAUCAUUUCUAAUACCAGAUUCUCUUUCUUUCUCUCUCUCCCUCCCUCCAUCUCUGUGUGUAUGUACCCACAUAUAUAUAUCUGACUCUAAGCUUCAUGUGGAUAGGAAUCAUGUCUACCAACCCUAAUGUAUUGUACUCGCUCAAGUUCUUAGUACAGUGUUCUGCACACAGCAAAUGGAUAGAGUACGGGCCUGGAAGUCAGAAGGUCCCUGCUCUGCCACGUCUGCUGUGUAACCUUGGACAAGUGAUGCGGCUUUUCUGUGCCUGCUGCCUCAUCUGCAAAAUGGGGGUAGUGGGACAGGGACUGUAUCCGACCCGAUUUACUUUUAUCCACCCUAGCACUUAGUAGAGUGCCUGGCACAUAGUAGGCACUUAACAAAUACCACAAUUAUUAUGAAGUGUUCAAUAAAUAUCACUGAUUGAUUGAUCAUUUGAUUGGCAUACACAUUCACACAGAGCAGUAAGUGUGGUCAUAUCUGCAAAACUUUUUUCCAGAGAAACCGUCUGGAUUCUGUAGAUUCACCCAAAAGUUUCCACUGCGGCAUACUGUGAGCCUGGGGCACUUAGGGGUCCGAUGUCCUUGAAUACCUUUAACGGCCGCUUUUUAACGGCAACCUUUAACAGCGUAUCUGGUUGAGAAGUAAAGCCCAAAGCCAAAAGGAGGAAGAAAAGUCAUAGUGGAGAGGAAACACAGUGGGGUUUUUGCCUCCCCCUAGAAUGGGUGAUUAGCCCCAGGCAUUUCUUUUUUCUUAAUGUAGGAAUAAUUACUUUAUGGCCUCAUUGCCCCAAGAGUCAUAUUGCAUCCAGACUAUCAAAAAAGCAUUAUCGACAUGACUAUGUGACAAAGAGACCUUAACAGAGAGCAAAAUGCUAACCAAACUCCACGUUUUCCUUCACUGCCUGUUUAUGCACCAAUCCACGCUAUUUACCCUGGUGAUCACUAACAAGCACCGAAGAAUUCUUAGCCGCAUGCAGGUAAGAUGUUUCUUCAAGCAGAACGGAAGCCUUUUAGCUGAUUAAAUUUGAACGGAGUCAUCCGACGCUGCAGGGAAUCCUUCCUUUGGAAGACGAAACAAGGUACGUUCUUCGAGAUUUCUUCCGAGCAGUAUAAACGCUCGUCGGCAUUAGCAGUAGACUAGAGGUACAGUCUGUGAGGGACUGCCUGCCUGAGGGCUGAAGGAUUGGAGACUGUCAAAUGGCAACAACUCCGGACCGUUUAGCCGUGUGGGCGGCAACUCUAGUGUGGUUAGCCUUGUUGGCAUUCUUGGUUUGAUUUUUCAUUUCCCGACUGCUUUUCCCCCUGGUUUUCACGAGAAUCUUCCACUGCUCACCCUCCCCCAAGCCCCUCGGCUCUUACUAAGUCACAGCGAGCGGCCAGUUCGAAGCUGACGUCUGGAAAGUGUCCACUGCUGUCCGUGUCUCGGAGACCCUCUGUUCCCUCACCACAGGCUGAGCCCAUUCUCCCCACCGGCCAUCACACAGAGCACGCAGCAGGGCGUGGGAGGACCGGGGCGAGGGAGUGGGGAUGGCUCCAUGUGAACCAUCCCCACUGCGGCCAGAACAAUUCAGCCCCGGGACCAGCUGGCUGGGAGACCCACCUUUCCGCUCUUCAGCCAAUCAAUCAAAUUUGUUAAUAAUUAUAAUCACGGGAUUUGCUAAGUGCUUACUAUGUGCCAGACACACUGUUCUAAGCCCUGGGAUAGAUACAAGGUAAUCAGGUCGUCCCACGUGGGGCUCACAGACUUAAUCCCCGCUUUACAGAUGAGGUCACUGAGGCAUAGAGAAGUGAAGUGACUUGCCCAAAGUCACACAGCUGAUAAGUGGCGGAGUCGGGAUUAGAACUCACGACCUCUGACUCCCAAGCCCGGGCUCUGUCCACUAAGCCACGCUUCUUCAGUGUGUUGAGUGUGCUGAGUGUAUACUGUGUGCAGAGCACUGCAUUAAGCACUACUGGUGCCUGAGCAACACUUGCCCGAAUGGCCAGGGACCAGAGAGGUUGGCAAGUGUAUUUCCAUGGGCACAGGGUGCCAGGAAUUCUCUCUCAAUCACUUACACACAUGGACUCAAUCUUACCAAUGGCACUGUCAUCUUCAAACCGGUGGAUAAAUCAGUGAUUUGUGUGGCUGUGUGUGGGUUGUGGAAGUGUGGACAAGGCCAUGGGAGCGUGUGUGGGUGCGGAUUUACUGUUCAGCGGGCAGUC